This 207-nucleotide ribosomal RNA is filed under the name uncultured bacterium. RNAcentral's name for it is "partial 16S ribosomal RNA". It matches the Rfam family "Bacterial small subunit ribosomal RNA", at positions 568 to 774 of the family's 1533-position model. The record is from RNAcentral.
UGCGUAGGCGGCCUUUUAAGUUGGAUGUGAAAUACCCGGGCUUAACUUGGGGGGUGCAUCUAAUACUGGAGGGCUAGAGUGCAGGAGAGGGAAGCGGAAUUCCUAGUGUAGCGGUGAAAUGCGUAGAUAUUAGGAGGAACACCAGUGGCGAAGGCGGCUUUCUGGACUGUAACUGACGCUGAGGCACGAAAGCGUGGGGAGCAAACA